GUUCUAGCUUUGGCAGCACAUAUACUAAAAUUAGAACACUAUAGAGAAGAUUAUCAUGGCUCCUGUGCAAGAAUGACAUUCAAAGUCCUGAAGCAUUCCAUAUAUUU
This is a small nuclear RNA of Nannospalax galili (Upper Galilee mountains blind mole rat), 107 nucleotides long. The record is from Ensembl. Lineage: Eukaryota; Metazoa; Chordata; Mammalia; Rodentia; Spalacidae.